Oryctolagus cuniculus (rabbit) is the source of this 5076-nucleotide non-coding RNA. Lineage: Eukaryota; Metazoa; Chordata; Mammalia; Lagomorpha; Leporidae. The record is from RefSeq and is a predicted model, not a curated record.
CACGCCCACCUUCCCAGGAUGCACCUGUCUCAUCCGGGACCUUGGCGCAUGCUCCCUUUGUGUACCCGGCGGCGUAUCCGUCCGGCACUGUCUCUCCUGCCGGAGGUUGAAGAAGUGGAAGAGUUCUGAAGGAAAUUUUUUGAAAAUCCAGCUUGCACCCAUGGAAGCUGGGUUGCACCUCAGUGAACCCGUCACAAAUGGACAGCAUCCCAAACUGCAGAGGCACUGAUCUCCCUGACCUUCUGCGGAUCCUGGCCGAGCAGCACCGCACGCUGUAGGACGGGGGCUGUUCGCCUUGUGACCUCCAGGCUGACCCAGAGCUGUGCUCUCUGCCGCUGUCCUGCGUUGCCAGAGAGGAUCGGACUGCACAGAGCCAACCCAGGACGGACCCACCUCCCACAUCCCACGUGUGGCUUCUGCUGAAUGCUCGUCAUCGCUUUCUCACCGUUAGAAAUCAGGGAUUGUUUGGGGUGCUAGAUCUUGGGGUAAUUCUACUUUAAAUUUUUUGAGGAACCGGGAUACUGUUUUCCAUUGCAGUUGUAUCAUUUUAUAUUUUACCCACAAUGCAUAAGCAUUCCAAUUUUUUAUCUCCUGUUAACACUUGUUAUUUCCUGACUUUGGGGUUUUGUUUUCCUUCUAAGAUUUUUCCUUUAAUUGGAGAUGCGGAGAGAGGAAGAGGGAGAGAGGAGAGAGCUCCCACCUGCAAAGGCUCUGGCUGGGCCGGAUGAAAGAUGGGAACUGGGAACUCAGUACAGGUAUUUCACAGGGCUGGCAGGAACCCAAGCACUGGAACCAUCACUGCCGCCUCCCAGGGUCUGCGUUAGCAGGAAGCUGGCAUCAGGAGCUGGAGCUGGGUAUGGAACCAGCACUUCGAGAGGGGCCCCAGGUGUCUCAACCAGCAGCUUAAUUGCUACACGAAUACCUGUCCAUUUUUUACAGUACCCUCUCUCUCGAUGUGAGGGGUCUCCCUGCGUUUUAAACACGAGCAAUUGUUGUCUUCACUGUUCCUCAAACGCACAUGCCGUGAGACAGCAUGUGAGACCCUGUGCCCUCCGCCCAGCACUUCUCACACGACUUUGGAGCCUGGCUUUCCCCCUCCUGUGCCCUGACUGCUGCCUGCAGCCGGAUGCCUCAUCUGUGUCUCUUCACACUCAGCCUCUAACGAGAGGCAUCCGGGAAGUGGUGAACUGGCCAAACACAGCCACCUGUCCUUCCUCCCCUCCCCUCCCCUCGCCGCCCCAGCUCUCAGGAAGCAGCGCUGCAAGGACUCUGGGACAGAGCCUGGUGCCCAGUGGCCCAGGGACAGCUGGGCAGGUUCCAUGGGCUCCUCCUACUUUUGCUUGGGGUUUCAUCAGCUGGGGCGGACAGAGCCAGGCAGACCCAUUCUUCUGGUUUUUUAAAAAACUUUUAUUUAAUAAAUAUAAAUUUCCAAAGUACAGCUUUUGGAUUACAGUGGCUUUUUCCCCCCAUAAUUUCCCUCCCACCUGCAACCCUCCCAUCUCCCGCUCCCUCUCCCAUUCCAUGCAUGUCAAGAUUCAUUUUCAAUUCUCUUUAUAUACAGAAGAUCCAUUUAUUAUAUAUCAAGAUUUCAACAGUUUGCACCCACACAGAAACACAAAGUGUAAAGUACUGUUUGAGUACUAGUUAUAGCAUUAAUUCACAUUGAACAACACAUCAAGGACAGAACUCCUACAUGAGGAGUAAGUGCACAGUGACUCCUGUUGUUGACUUAACAAAUUGACACUCUUGUUUAUGGUGUCAAUAAUCACCCAAGGCUCUUGUCAUGGGUUGCCAAGGCUAUAGAAGCCUUUUUGAGUUUGCCAACUCCGAUCUUAGUUAGACAAGGAAAUAGUCAAAGUGGAAGUUCUCUCCUCCCUUCAGAGAAAGGCACCUCCUUCUUUGAUGGCCCGUUCUUUCCACUGGGGUCUUACUCGCAGAGAUCUUUCAUUUAGGUUUUUUUGUUUUUGUUUUUUGUUUGUUUGUUUGUUUUUUGCCAGAGUGUCUUGGCUUUCCAUGCCUAAAAUACUCUCAUGGGCUCUUCAGCCAGAUCUGAAUGCCUUAAGGGCUGAUUCUGAGGCCAGAGUGCUGUUUAGGGCAUCUGCCAUUCUAUGAGUCUGCUGUGUAUCCCACUUCCCAUGUUGGAUUGUUCUCUCCUUUUUAAUUCUAUCAGUUAGUAUUAGCAGUCACUAGUCUUGUUUGUGUGAUCCCUUUGACUCUUAGUCCUAUCAUUAUGAUCAAUUGUGAACUGAAAUUGAUCACUUGGACUAGUGAGAUGGCAUUGGUACAUGCCACCUUGAUGGGAUUGAAUUGGAAUCCCCUGGCACGUUUCUAACUCUAUUAUUUGGGGCAAGUCAGCUUGAGCAUGUCCCAAAUUGUACAUCUCCUCCCUCUUUUAUUCCCAUUCUUAUAUUUAACAGGGAUCACUUUUCAGUUAAAUUUAAACACUUAAGAAUAAUUGUGUGUUAAUUAAAGAGUUCAACCAAUAGUAUUAAGUAGAACAAAAAAAUACUAAAAGGGAUAAAGUAUUAAGUUGUUCAUCAACAGUCAGGACAAAGGCUGAUUAAGUCACUGUUUCUGAUAGUGUCCUUUUCCCUUCAACAGGUUUCCUUUUUGGUGCUUGGUUAGUUGUCACCGAUCCGGGAGAACAUAUGAUAUUUGUCCCUCUGGGACUGGCUUAAUUCACCCAGCAUGUGUUCCGGAUUCCUCCAUUUUGUUGCAAAUGACCGGAUUUCGUUGUUUUUGACUGCUGUAUAGUAUUCUAUAGAGUACCUGUCCCAUAAUUUCUUUAUCCAGUCUACUGUUGAUGGGCAUUUAGGUUGCUUCCAGGUCUUAGCUAUUGUGAAUUGAGCUGCAAUAAACAUUGAGGUGCAGACAGCUUUUUUAUUUGCCAAUUUAAUUUCCUUUGGGUAAAUUCCAAGGAGUGGGAUGGCUGGGUCGAACGGUAGGGUUAUAUUCAGGUUUCUGAGGAAUCUCCAGACUGACUUCCAUAGUGGCUUUCCCAGUUUGCAUUCCCACCAACAGUGGGUUAGUGUCCCUUUUCCCCCACAUCCUCACCUGUUGUUGGUAGAUUUCUGCAUGUGAGCCAUUCUCACUGGGGUGAGGUGAAACCUCAUUGUGGUUUUGAUUUGCUCUCCCUGAUCACUAGUGAUCUUGAACAUUUUUUCAUGUGGCAGACCCAUUCUUGAGAAGCUGGCCCUAGGGGCUGCUGGAGGACCUCGAUGUGCCUGUUCGCGUUGUCUUUCAGAAAUUGAAAGGUGGAAGGGAAGUGGAGCUGCUACCUUGUUACACCUAAAACGCCAGUAGGUGCUACGAGCUUGUAGCCCAGCUCACCUGGUCAGCCUAGGACUGUCAGCAGCAGGCAGCCGCCACCAGUCCUGCUCCUGUUUCCCCGACUGCAGGCCCAGGUGCACACUCUGCGCUGCACUGACGGCCCUGGCUUCUCCUCUGAGGCACUUGCCGUGUGGAGGCUCGGAGGUGGGGGAAGCCAAGCAGGGGGCCUGGCACAGCAAGUUAGGCUUCCCGCACAUGAGCCACCGCUCCGAGCCCUAGCUGCUCUGCUUCCAGCCCAGCUUCCUUCCAGUGCACCUGGGCAGGCAGCGGAUGAUGGCCCAAGUGCUCGGGCCUCUGCCACCCACGUAAGAGAACAGGACGUGACUCCCGGUUUCAGCCUGGCGCAGACCUGGCUGUUGUAGCCAUGUGGGGAGUGAAUCAGAGAUAGAGGAGCUCUCUUUCUCCCUCUGUGUCGCUCAGCCUUUCAAUAACAUGCAUACCCACAGAGAUCUUUAAAAAGAGAGAGAGGCCAAGAAGGGCUCAGUUCACCCUCCAGAGGUCUCGCUGGCCCCUUCUCCCCCUCUUCGCGUCCAUCCAUCCUUUGCCACAGCCACCUCAGCACCAGACGCAGAAGCAGCAAUCAGAGAGGGAUUCUGCGAAGGAGAGUGGUAUUACCUGGGACCAGCAGUGCACUGCAGUGGGCAAACGCAUGCCGGAGUCAACUGUGGGUAAAGUAGAGACAAGGGGAAAUGUUUUGUGUUUUAAUUUGAGAAGCAGAGUGAGCAAGGAACACACACAUCCCAUCUGUUGGUUCAUUCUCCGAAUGCCUGCAAUGGCGGAGGGACUAAAGCCAGGAUCCGGGAACUCAAUCCAGGUUUCCCCUGCGGGUGGCAGGAACCCAUCACUUGAGCCAUCCCUGCUGCUCUCCAGGAUCUGUGUUAGCUGGAGGGAGGAGCCAGAGCGGGGAUUAGAACCCAGGUGCUAUGAUAUGAGAUGCAGACAUCUUAACCAGGGUCAUAGUCAAUAGGUGAAUGUGUGCCCCAAGGAAGGGUUGUUUUUAAAGGCAAAAAUGAGGGAUUGCAUUAGAUAUUUGAAACAACAGCCAAUGGGCACCAUGGUUAAUAAGCAGAGUGUCAUUAUUCCAAGGCUGGACACAGUUAGGUGGAUGCCCUUGCAGAAGUACUCUUUGUAGUAGGUCGGGGUGGCCUCUGUGAGGGCCAGGGGCUCAGGCAGAGUCUUUUGUGAGUUACCAUCGGCGCCGUGGGUGAGAGGCUUCCUGAGUCAACUCCCGCUGCACUGCUUGCUAGGUGACAGUGACUUCACGGUGAGCCCCUCCGCAGCAGCUGCUCUGACCUCUGUAAUUCCCACCGUCGCGGGAGGCCGGAUCCCUACAGGAAAUCCCAUAUCCUAUGCCAUUCCUUAUUCUGCUUCUCUGAUUGAGUGUCCAGUGACACUGGCCCAUUCACUGGGACCACGGAUGGGGACACCAAGUUGGGUCUUCCAGUCAGGACCUGUCGGUUCAGCUCUAGAGUCGUGGGAGGACAGGGCUAACUGAGCCCAUAAACCAUGGCCCAGGAGCAGAAGAGCCGUGUGGACUGGAGUCAGCAGGGCUGGAGUCGGGAGGGCUUCCUGGUGUGUGGCCUGGGGCAGGGGAGAGGGGGAGGACCAGGAGGAUGGCCACAGGUGGGCGUCAGGGAAUCGCUGUUGCCUGUCCCAGAGCUGCAUAGGACGGUCCAGUGAGCUGCCAAAAAUCCCGUCUCUCCUCCCCCGAGCAGUCUGCGCGCUGCCUGCUGUGCAGCGAGACAG